Long non-coding RNA from Branchiostoma floridae (Florida lancelet), 1010 nucleotides. RefSeq lists it as uncharacterized. The transcript is spliced from 2 exons. NCBI's taxonomy places the organism in Eukaryota, Metazoa, Chordata, Leptocardii, Amphioxiformes, Branchiostomatidae. The record is from RefSeq and is a predicted model, not a curated record.
GGAAGAAUCCAUUCUUGCACUGGGAAUUUUGUAAGAUUCAUUUCUGGGUGUCAUUAAGUGUCAUUAGUAGAAUUGACGUUUAAACAAAAGUCUUCCAUUUUUGCACAUGGGUGAUUUUGGAAUAGUCUAUUGUUGCAUGGGGAGGGAGAUGGCUGAAAUAUGCUGUAUUUGCUCUCAAGCAAAUGUUGGCUUUUCUAGUUGUAUAUAUAUAUAUAUUCACGUCGAAUAGUGAUUAAUACCAUCAGAUAUGAACUAUUUAGAAGUCACUUGUAUAAAGCAUACGGAAAUCAUACUAAGCACAUACAAUGUACUAUAUAUGUAUAUCUAGAAUAAGAUAAACGCUUUGUGAAAACAAGCGCGUCAUUCACAUAUUACAGAUACUGAAAAUAAUUGUCGUCAAAUUUGUAUAUCAUCGUGUAACACUAUCUACGUAAACUCUAGAUUGAUUUUUACUUGUUUUACAGACCAAGGGGGCAAUACGGAGUGGACGCCUUGUAUGAUCCGCACUGCAAUGGACCAGUGCCCUCUAUCGGACUGGAGCUGUACUUCAACAGGACCUGAGGCAACCAUUAGAACAACAAGGAUGAUCAAAAAGCUUUCUAAUGAAAGUGUGCCAGCCCCAACAUCAUAACAGCAAAAUGUUUAUAGAUUGCACUAUGGAAAAUUGUAUUUCAUAAUCACAGUUUGUGUGAAGGUGCUGAAAGCUAGAAAUGUCCAUUUUGAUAAAUUGUUUGGGUGUAAAAUAAGACAUUUCAUUUCAGACUAUUCAUCAUCAUCACCAUAUACAAUACAAAAUGAUUAUGUAAUACUAAGUGUUAAUGCACAUUUGCGAAAUGUGUUUACCUAUCAAGUUUGUACAGACCACAUUAGAUAAAAUGUUACAGAUAUUGAUAUUCAUACGAGAUCAGGUAUAGCAAAACAUUCUGCUGUUCUUAAUUGGCUAGGGGCGUCUCGGUCAUAGGAGAAAUGUGUUGUUCCGACUAGAAGACAACUGCAAAAUAGAGGUAUAG